Maniola jurtina (meadow brown) is the source of this 559-nucleotide long non-coding RNA. RefSeq lists it as uncharacterized. The transcript has 2 exons. The record is from RefSeq and is a predicted model, not a curated record. Lineage: Eukaryota; Metazoa; Arthropoda; Insecta; Lepidoptera; Nymphalidae.
CAAUGCUUUUUAAGUUUUUUUAAGCAUUUUUGGAUUAUUUUAAUUUUUAUUACUACACUUUUGUGGUACUUAGCUUUUCUGAUUCCCAACUAUGACGAAAGCACGUCUGGUCAUUUCGGUAUUUUGUUUAUGUCUAAUAGCAUUGUUUGCAACUUUAGUUUACUUGAUCAGUAAUAUUAACCCUACAGCGAUGUCGGAAUUAAAAUAUGACGACGCAGAUUACUUAUUGAGCCCAAAUGAGGUAGGUUAUGGACUUGAAAAAGUAACUGUUGAUUAUGAUUAUGACCAACCAAGCAAAAAUAUUACAAGAGUUAAAACUGUACCACAAUUAAAGAAUGAAAUCCAAACAAAUUAUACUCGGAAACAAAUGGGUUUUAAAAUGAUAACUAAACCAAUCAAAGCUGUUAAAGUCUUCAGGAGAUCGAUUAACGAAGAAAAUCAUUACGAAGAACAUAGUACAGAAACACCUUAAUCCUUGCUUUUAGAAAUAAAAGACUUAGCCGGACAACCGAGAAUUGAAAUCAAACUCGUUGCAGAAAAACUAAAGAGCAACACAAGU